RNAcentral lists this transfer RNA (72 nucleotides) under Candidatus Poseidoniaceae archaeon. Its description in RNAcentral is "tRNA-Thr". It matches the Rfam family "tRNA". Rfam says of the family: Transfer RNA (tRNA) molecules are approximately 80 nucleotides in length. Their secondary structure includes four short double-helical elements and three loops (D, anti-codon, and T loops). Lineage: Archaea; Methanobacteriati; Thermoplasmatota; Candidatus Poseidoniia; Candidatus Poseidoniales; Candidatus Poseidoniaceae. The record is from RNAcentral.
GCCGGCGUAGCAUAGUGGUAGUGCACCUGAUUUGUAAUCAGGCGGUCGGGGGUUCGAAUCCCCCUGUCGGCU